GGUUGGGGUGGGGGUCGGCUGGCAAACAGUGGUCGGGAGCACUGGGCGGGCGCGCGCACGAGGGCAAGCACGCGCGGGAGGGAGGGACGGUUCCUGGGCAACGGCCCCUCCCUGGCGCGGGAUCCGCGCAGAGUCUGCCCGGGUCGCACGCGUCUCCGCCCCUCGCGGUGCCUCCUCCUUCCUGUCACCUCGGUUCCGCCCUGGGUGGGGAGAAGCCCUGUUGCACCACUCGGGCUUCCCAGAGCGGGGCUGGCCCGCGGGGGAAACUGAGGCCCGGGACCCCGACCGGCGCCUGCACUGUGCGAGCCCGCGUAGAAAUAGGCGCCCGAGGGGCCCCCAGCGCAACGCUGGAGCUCGGCCCAGCCCCGGGGGUCCUGUGGUGAACUGGCAUCUGGGCUCUGCAGGCCUGAAGUCCGCUGAGCGCCUCGACCUGCAACUCUAGACCCCAAGUCCCCGAUCUAGGGCCUCCUUGUCGCCCUAGAAAGCGCCCUCUAAGCUUGUUUCUGUUUUUAGGCGUUGGUAGGGGUGCUGUCACCGACAUCCUAUAGCCGCCGAGGGUGUUUCUGUAGGGUAAACAUGAAGCCUCGGAGCCUCGGCUAUAUUCCAGGCAUUUUCACUUGGGUAUUGUGCAGGAAAAAAAACUACUUCUGCAACUAAGGAAUGUAAAGUCUUAACAACGGAUGAAUUUUUUUCCAAGUACAGUUGUAUUUGAUUGGAAUCAUUUGCAGAUCCAACAACAAAUCUUGAAAUAGGGGGAAAAUACAGAAGCUAUCCAAGCACCAUGCAGAUGCUCCUAGGAUUCUUAAACAAGCCAAAAAUAAUUCCAGGCAUUGUCAGAUAUAGGAUAAGUGCAUGAA
Symphalangus syndactylus (siamang) is the source of this 857-nucleotide long non-coding RNA. RefSeq lists it as uncharacterized. NCBI's taxonomy places the organism in Eukaryota, Metazoa, Chordata, Mammalia, Primates, Hylobatidae. The record is from RefSeq and is a predicted model, not a curated record.